Molecule: long non-coding RNA, 520 nt
Filed under: Cyanistes caeruleus (blue tit)
Lineage: Eukaryota; Metazoa; Chordata; Aves; Passeriformes; Paridae
Description: lncRNA (ENSCCEG00000014248.1)
Source: RNAcentral
UGCCUAGUGUACCUCCUCCUCCCAUAACUUCACAAUGCUCUGAGCAAAUAAUCUUUUCUUAAAUGCAACCAGACACCAGUAUCUUACACAACAGGGAGUUGUUUGUUGAUCCAUCAAUUCAUGGGGAAAGUACCUCAGUGAGGAAUGCUGCUGCUGCUCCUCUCUUCCUUGAGGCUGCUUUUUCAGAAAUCACAGGAGGAGAACAACUGAUAAAGGUCACAACCUACAAUUCCCAUCUUUGGUUGAAGAAAGUCUCUGGUCUUCAGCCAGUCUCCUACGGUGCUUGGUCUUGAAAAUGCACAGCAAGUUGGAAGUCUUACAUAGUGAUUUCUUGAAACCUUUUCAAUAUGACAUUCUAAUUCCUUAAAGUCAAGGUAAGAGAACACGUCUCUUCAUGACCAAGUCAUGCAAUUCCUAGGUGAUAUUAAAACUGGGUGAAAGCAGAAAUGGAGGCAGAGAAGUGGCUUUUGUUAAGUGUGUGGGUAGAGAGAACUGCCGCAUGCCUGUGUCCAUACCUAAG